UGUGAACUCAUCCAAAACAAAAUUAUGUUUGUCUCCACCACUUCCAUCUUCGUCGCCACCAUCGCCGUCUGCAUCUCCACGAAAAAUCGAUAAAACUUAACUCCACCACCAUCACCUCCAGCACCACCUCAUCGCCCACCAUAUCUACAUAUUCAUCAUCAUCUCCAUCACUACCUCUUAUAUUUCCACCAAAUCCACCACCUACAACACCACUUCUUCCUCCCAAACAAUCGAUUCAGAUUCAAAACCUAAAUUUGGUGAUGAUUCAACGAAAAAAUAAUCUUCAAAGCCUAAUAUCGAGAAUCGAUUGCGAAAUAAUGAUGAUAAUCGUCACCAACAAUUGGAUCUGGAGAUUCAAUAUUCAAAAGAGAAUUAAAAGAUAAGUUUUAUCUCUUAUUUUCAUUCUAAUUAGUGGCGAUUAUUAAUGGAUAAUCUUUGAAUCUCAAAAUGUAAAGAAAAUGAAUUAAAUAAGUAAUUUUAAGAUGUAUACACGACAAAUGUUUUGGUUAAUUUGAUGUUUAGACAUAGAUUUUUGCACCUGAUUAACAAUCUCUAUGUAGGAAACGGUGGUGGUGGUCGUGGUCGGGAGAUGGUGGUAGUGGUGAAUUCUUCCUGCUUCCUAAGAAAAAAGGUACAUAAAUGAUUGUGGUGGUGAUGAUUUCCUGGGUUUGGUAUGUCGCAACAUUUUAUUGGUCUGUUACUAGUCACUACGCUCAAUUCUAUAUUGUUUGGUGUGGUGAUUUACUUCCAGUCUACACCAGGAAUGAUAUUUGACAUAUUUUAUAUGAUUUUACAUGGUUUUUCUUGAGUUUAAAAAUGCUAUUUUUACUUUAUUCUGUUAAGCAUCGGCAAGAAUACAAGGGGUCAAGUCAACAACACACUUUUUCAUAUUAUCUUGGUGCUUUUUUAAGGAAUUGCGUCUCAAUUUGACUAUUAGUGGGUCUAGAUCAAGUAAGGUGUGAAAUGUGAAUAACAUGGAUUUGUCAGGUGAUAUAAUUCCGUAUUUAUUGAAUGGAGUAUCGUUGAUGGUGCUGAUGUUAGUUUGUAUGGAAGACAAAGUGGAGAGUACCCUUUUAUAUAUAUCCUUCAUAUUUUUAGCUGCAAGAGAUGCCAGUGUGUCUGCAAGACAAAGUGGAGAGUACCCUUUUCAUUUUUUGACCUUCACUCUUACAAGAACCUUACGUGUUAGAAAAUUAACCUUGGUCAUCCCACUGUUUUCUUUUUAAUCAAAUAUGCUUUUCAUGUCCAUAUAUGAGGCUCAUACAUCAUAUCCGGUUGCCGGCUUCCCCGCCUCUUGCAAGCGAUCUUAGUUUCCCAAGGUAUUGAAAUUAUUUGAGGAAGCAUACAUUUGUACUUGAAGCGUACAUAGAUAGAGUCAAUUGGAUUUGUUGGGAUUUGUUGCACCAUACAUCAUGGCAAUGGUUCAUAUAACGUCAGCACUACGAGUAUAUUUUAGAGGUUACUCGUUUUUGGUGGUAUCAAAUUAUAACUUUAUUCAAGUGGGUUUAAUGAGAAAGGUGUGGAGUUCUUCAAAUGAUGAAUUGUGGUGCAAUGGUAGCAUGACUGACUCUACGUCAGAUGAUGCAUAUUCGACUCACUCCAAAUUCACUCAUUCAUAUAUGUCAUAAUUUGUUUUGUGUCAAACUUUGGUUGUUGAUUCCAUCUACUGGGAUCAACUUCCAUUGUUGACACAACUGGACUAGAAUAUUUUUCGGUUAUUUGUGCCAACUUUAAUUGUUGAUUCCAUUCACUGGGAUUAACUUCCAUUGUUGAUACAAAAAUGCUGGAAUAUUUUUUUCAGUUAUUGCGUCAACUUUGGUUGUUGACCCCAUUCAGUGGGAUCAACUUCCAUUGUUGACACAACUGAAUUGGAAUGAUUUUUUGUUAUUUAUAUCAAAUUUGGUUGUCGACUUCAUUCACUGGGAUCAACUUAGUUUGUUGACUCAAAAAAAAAUUGAAAUAUGUAUUAGUAAAGUUUUUUUUUUUGAACUUUUAAUUUUUGGAUCAACUUUGGUUGUUGACACCAAAUUUUGGUAGCGGCGGCGGUGGCGGCUAUAGCGGUGGUGGCGACAACGGCGUUGAUAACGUCGACAGUGGUGGUGGUGGAAUAUUCGUGGAGGUGGUGGAAUAUUAAUUGUGGUUGUAGUUAGUAAGCGGUGGUGAUGGUGGUGGUGUAAUGGUGGUGGUGGUGGUAGUGGCCGUGAAGAAAUAGAGAAAGAAAUUUAUUAAUGGAUAAGGUUUGUAAAUGAAAAAUAAUUAUAAGCGAGCGUAUUAAGGUAAUUUAUUUUUUAA
Molecule: long non-coding RNA, 2292 nt
Organism: Papaver somniferum (opium poppy)
Lineage: Eukaryota; Viridiplantae; Streptophyta; Magnoliopsida; Ranunculales; Papaveraceae
Exons: 4
Source: RefSeq, a predicted model, not a curated record